CUGGGGACGCCGCGACAGCAGCGCCGGCGACUCGGGAAGACUUGCGGCGUCCGGCGCGCACCGCGCAUGCGCCCCGACCCCGCCCGGGUCCCCAUCAGACGUCGUCGUCAUGGAAACCCCGGGACUGCGCGAACAGCUAGCUUAAAGGGACCGAGGUGGCUCCUGGGCUCCGUGUGCCCAGCCCCGGGCGGGAUCUGCGCCUAGAGCACCGUCAGGCCCACAGGCCACGGAGUGGGGAGGGCUUCUUGGAGGAGGCGGCUCCUGGAUAACACCUCCAGAGCCACUGCCGGCCGGAAUUAAGCCAAGGAAGCGCGAAAUCUGCCGCGGGAGCUCGGCGGUCCCGGGGCUUGGGGUGUCCCUGGGCCGAUCCUGAGGGAGGGGCUCGAGGCACGCCAGGAUUGGGGGCCAGUGAAUGCAAAGGCGCGGCCUCUGCUCCCGGGCCAGUGGGGUCCAGUCGGGUCGGAUUGCUCCGGGGAUAUCGGGGCCAGGAGCGACCCAGGCCCGUGGGCCGGUGGGGGAUCCGCUCUCUCCGCUCCUGACUCGGGCCCAGCCUUGCCCCUGCGCCUCAGGGGAGAGGGACAGAGCUCUCGGGUGUGGGGGGCAGUUUUGCCCUCAGGGAUACUUGGCAAUAUCUGGAGGCAUUUUGGACGGUCGCAGCUGGGAGGAGAGGUGCUACUGAACCCACUGGGUAGACGUCAAGGGUGCGGCUAAGCAUCCUGCAAAGCAGGACGACCCCACAAAGGAUGAUCCGGCCCAAACUGUGGACAGAGCAGCAGUUGAGGAGCCCCGGUCUGUAUCUUCUCGCCAGAAGGCCAGGCCCUCCCUACCGGGUGCUCAGAAGAUGCGCAGGAAGCGUGACUGCGUGAGCGCGGGCCCAGGUUCAUUCAGGUGUGAUUGACAUGCAAUACACAAUUUGAUCGAUUUUGAUGUAUACAUGUGAAAAUUAAUAAAGGGAAACCUCACUGAAAUGGAGUCAGGAGGCCAGAAGGGGGAGCUCUCAUGCAGUACCACUCAAAGUUGGUCACAGGAAGAAUCAUCAAUUACAGGUCCCCACAGGAAAAGAUGUACAGGGCAUCUCCCACAAGAAAUCCACUUCCCCAGAAACUCAGCCAGAAUCCAUCACCACUCUGAACUCUCACUUUUCUCCAAUGGACUUUGGUUCAAAACAACUGCCAACAUCCUCCUUUUUCUCUAUAAAAUAACGUUCCUCUCCUUUGUUAGACUUGCCUUUGGCCUUUGUAUAGCAUGCUUGUCCCAAGUCGCAAUUCUCUGCUGUUCCCAAGUAAACCCAUUUUUGCUGGUAGAACAACUGUUUCAUUUUGAAGGUCAGCAUGCACCUGUGAUGCGAUUACCACCAUGAAGAUAAGGAACAUACCCACCACCACCCAAAGACCCUCGUCUCUCUUUGCAAUCUCCCCUCCUGCUUCUCACUGGCACCUCCCCCCAAGAUAACCACCAAUCCGCUUUCUGUUGCUAGAUUGCAUUUUCUACAAUUUUAUGUAAGUGGAAUCAUACAAUAUAUUCUAUUUUUUGUCUGUCUUCCUUAAAUUAGUAAAAUUAUUUUGAGAUUU
This is a long non-coding RNA of Balaenoptera ricei (Rice's whale), 1571 nucleotides long. RefSeq lists it as uncharacterized. The record is from RefSeq and is a predicted model, not a curated record. The transcript is spliced from 3 exons. NCBI's taxonomy places the organism in Eukaryota, Metazoa, Chordata, Mammalia, Artiodactyla, Balaenopteridae.